RNAcentral lists this transfer RNA (71 nucleotides) under Candidatus Vogelbacteria bacterium CG10_big_fil_rev_8_21_14_0_10_45_14. RNAcentral describes it as "tRNA-Gly". It matches the Rfam family "tRNA". From Rfam's summary of the family: Transfer RNA (tRNA) molecules are approximately 80 nucleotides in length. Their secondary structure includes four short double-helical elements and three loops (D, anti-codon, and T loops). The record is from RNAcentral. Lineage: Bacteria; Candidatus Vogeliibacteriota.
GCGGGUAUAGUUUAGUGGUAGAAUGCGACCUUCCCAAGGUUGAGAUUCGGGUUCGAUUCCCGGUACCCGCA